GAUGAACGCUGGCGGCGUGCCUAAUACAUGCCAGUCGAGCGAACAGACGAGGAGCUUGCUCCUCUGACGUUAGCGGCGGACGGGUGAGUAACACGUGGAUAACCUACCUAUAAGACUGGGAUAACUUCGGGAAACCGGAGCUAAUACCGGAUAAUAUAUUGAACCGCAUGGUUCAAUGGUGAAAGACGGUUUUGCUGUCACUUAUAGAUGGAUCCGCGCCGCAUUAGCUAGUUGGUAAGGUAACGGCUUACCAAGGCAACGAUGCGUAGCCGACCUGAGAGGGUGAUCGGCCACACUGGAACUGAGACACGGUCCAGACUCCUACGGGAGGCAGCAGUAGGGAAUCUUCCGCAAUGGGCGAAAGCUUGACGGAGCAACGCCGCGUGAGUGAUGAAGGUCUUCGGAUCGUAAAACUCUGUUAUUAGGGAAGAACAAAUGUGUAAGUAACUAUGCACGUCUUGACGGUACCUAAUCAGAAAGCCACGGCUAACUACGUG
Molecule: ribosomal RNA, 497 nt
Filed under: uncultured bacterium
Lineage: Bacteria
Description: partial 16S ribosomal RNA
Rfam family: Bacterial small subunit ribosomal RNA
Source: RNAcentral